Molecule: ribosomal RNA, 422 nt
Filed under: uncultured bacterium
Lineage: Bacteria
Description: bacterial SSU rRNA
Rfam family: Bacterial small subunit ribosomal RNA
Source: RNAcentral
GAAUCUUGGACAAUGGGGGAAACCCUGAUCCAGCGAUGCCGCGUGAGUGAAGAAGGCCUUCGGGUCGUAAAGCUCUUUAGGUUGGGAAGAGGUGUAUUAGGUUAAUACCCUGAUAUGUUGACGGUACCGACAGAAUAAGCACCGGCAAACUCUGUGCCAGCAGCCGCGGUAAUACAGAGGGUGCAAGCGUUAAUCGGAUUUACUGGGCGUAAAGCGUGUGUAGGUGGCUUCCUAAGUCGGUUGUGAAAUCCCUGGGCUCAACCUGGGAAUUGCAGUCGAUACUGGGAAGCUCGAGUUCGGUAGAGGACGGCGGAAUUCCCGGUGUAGCGGUGAAAUGCGUAGAUAUCGGGAGGAACAUCGAUGGCGAAAGCAACCGUCUGGGCCUGAACUGACACUGAGACACGAAAGCGUGGGGAGCAAAC